AGCUGUGGAUGCAAUUCAUCACCUCAUGGACAAGUAGUUACAAGGCAUUUUUGAAAGUCCUGCAUCAAGCAUUUGUUGGCUGCUAUGGAAGGAGGAAUAUCACUUCAGGAGGAAUGCAGUCCUGAAGUAGAAGAGACAAGAGAAACCAUACAUAAGGAUCAGCUGGUUUACUGCUUUUAUAUGUACUGGAGGGGGCUGUAUGGAAACAACUGGAAGAGGAAGAAAUCAAUUACUCAAGCUUCAAGAAGACUUGGAUGUAAAGUGUCCACUUUUAAUCCUCUGCCUGCAGG
This is a non-coding RNA of Lonchura striata (white-rumped munia), 290 nucleotides long. The record is from RefSeq and is a predicted model, not a curated record. Lineage: Eukaryota; Metazoa; Chordata; Aves; Passeriformes; Estrildidae.